This 465-nucleotide ribosomal RNA is filed under the name uncultured bacterium. Its description in RNAcentral is "partial 16S ribosomal RNA". It matches the Rfam family "Bacterial small subunit ribosomal RNA", at positions 338 to 795 of the family's 1533-position model. The record is from RNAcentral.
CCUACGUGAGGCAGCAGUGGGGAAUAUUGCGCAAUGGGCGAAAGCCUGACGCAGCGACGCCGCGUGAGGGAUGAAGGUCUUCGGAUCGUAAACCUCUGUCAGCAGGGAAGAACGGUCACUGUGCUAAUCAGCAGUGAAUUGACGGUACCUGCAAAGGAAGCACCGGCUAACUCCGUGCCAGCAGCCGCGGUAAUACGGAGGGUGCGAGCGUUAAUCGGAAUUACUGGGCGUAAAGCGCUCGUAGGCGGUAUGGCAAGUCAAGGGUGAAAUCCCCGCGCUCAACGUGGGAACUGCCUUUGAAACUGGCAAACUGGAGUGUGUGAGAGGAUAGUGGAAGUCCAGGGGUAGGAGUGAAAUCCGUAGAUAUCUGGAGGAACAUCAGUGGCGAAGGCGACUAUCUGGCACAUAACUGACGCUGAGGAGCGAAAGCGUGGGUAGCAAACAGGAUUAGAUACCCGGGUAGUC